CUUUAAGCACCCUGACGUGCCAGAGGCAGACCUUGGUGCCCAUGGGCAGGAACUCAGACACAGUGCUUGGCAGAGCCUGUUGUGAUUUGUGGGCAUCUGGUGGAAGUGGGGGUCGGAGCCUGAAUCUGUGGGUCUUCAAGGGCUAGCGUUUUUGGAAUCAAUAAGAAAGGGACCAUGGCUGGAGAUGUCUCAGUCUUCGUGGAUCAGGAAUUAUAGUCCUAGAUCCUCAAAUCCUUAGAAAGGAAGUGGCAGGGAUUUGAUUCCUAGGUCCUGAGGGGAGAGUGUUGGGAGGGGGUUGCUGAGAAGACAGUAGAGACU
This 318-nucleotide long non-coding RNA is filed under the name Bos taurus (domestic cattle). RNAcentral's name for it is "long non-coding RNA NONBTAT009561". Lineage: Eukaryota; Metazoa; Chordata; Mammalia; Artiodactyla; Bovidae. The record is from RNAcentral.